AGUGAACGCUGGCGGUAGGCCUAACACAUGCAAGUCGAACGGCAGCACAGUAAGAGCUUGCUCUUACGGGUUGCGAGUGGCGGACGGGUGAGGAAUACAUCGGAAUCUACUUUUUCGUGGGGGAUCACGUAGGGAAACUUACGCUAAUACCGCAUACGACCUACGGUUGAAAGCAGGGGAUCUUCGGACCUUGCGCGAUUGAAUGAGCCGAUGUCGGAUUAGCUAGUUGGCGGGGUAAAGGCCCACCAAGGCGACGAUCCGUAGCUGGUCUGAGAGGAGGAUAAGCCACACUGGAGCUGAGACACGGUCAAGACUCCUACGGGAGGCAGCAGUGGGGAAUAUUGGACAAUGGGCGCAAGCCUGAUACAGCCAUACCGCGUGGGUGAAGAAGGCCUUCGGGUUGUAAAGCCCUUUUGUUGGGAAAGAAAAGCAGCAGGUUAAUACCCCGCUGCUCUGACGGUACCCAAAGAAUAAGCACCGGCUAACUUCGUG
Molecule: ribosomal RNA, 492 nt
Filed under: uncultured bacterium
Lineage: Bacteria
Description: partial 16S ribosomal RNA
Rfam family: Bacterial small subunit ribosomal RNA
Source: RNAcentral